GAGCCAGUAGCUUAGUCUGGAUAACCGUUAGGUUCUUGCUGAACCUUGGUUCAGGAAUAGAGCACUUCCCUCCUAAGGAAGGGGUCGCAGGUUCGAAUCCUGUCUGGCUCG
This 111-nucleotide transfer RNA is filed under the name Candidatus Woesearchaeota archaeon. Its description in RNAcentral is "tRNA-Arg". It matches the Rfam family "tRNA". From Rfam's summary of the family: Transfer RNA (tRNA) molecules are approximately 80 nucleotides in length. Their secondary structure includes four short double-helical elements and three loops (D, anti-codon, and T loops). Further hydrogen bonds mediate the characteristic L-shaped molecular structure. tRNAs have two regions of fundamental functional importance: the anti-codon, which is responsible for specific mRNA codon recognition, and the 3' end, to which the tRNAs corresponding amino acid is attached (by aminoacyl-tRNA synthetases). tRNAs cope with the degeneracy of the genetic code in two manners: having more than one tRNA (with a specific anti-codon) for a particular amino acid; and 'wobble' base-pairing, i.e. permitting non-standard base-pairing at the 3rd anti-codon position. Lineage: Archaea; Nanobdellati; Candidatus Woesearchaeota. The record is from RNAcentral.